RNAcentral lists this ribosomal RNA (460 nucleotides) under uncultured bacterium. RNAcentral's name for it is "partial 16S ribosomal RNA". It matches the Rfam family "Bacterial small subunit ribosomal RNA", at positions 338 to 795 of the family's 1533-position model. The record is from RNAcentral.
CCUACGGGCGGCAGCAGUGAGGAAUAUUGGUCAAUGGACGAGAGUCUGAACCAGCCAAGUAGCGUGAAGGAUGACUGCCCUAUGGGUUGUAAACUUCUUUUAUAUGGGAAUAAAAUGUUCCACGUGUGGGAUUUUGUAUGUACCAUAUGAAUAAGGAUCGGCUAACUCCGUGCCAGCAGCCGCGGUAAUACGGAGGAUCCGAGCGUUAUCCGGAUUUAUUGGGUUUAAAGGGAGCGUAGGUGGAUUGUUAAGUCAGUUGUGAAAGUUUGCGGCUCAACCGUAAAAUUGCAGUUGAAACUGGCAGUCUUGAGUACAGUAGAGGUAGGCGGAAUGCGUGGUGUAGCGGUGAAAUGCUUAGAGAUCACGAAGAACUCCGAUUGCGAAGGCAGUUCACUGGACUGCAACUGACACUGAGGCUCGAAAGUGUGGGUAUCAAACAGGAUUAGAUACCCCAGUAGUC